Molecule: ribosomal RNA, 253 nt
Filed under: uncultured bacterium
Lineage: Bacteria
Description: partial 16S ribosomal RNA
Rfam family: Bacterial small subunit ribosomal RNA
Source: RNAcentral
UACGUAGGUGGCAAGCGUUGUCCGGAUUUAUUGGGUUUAAAGGGUGCGUAGGUGGGCAGGUAAGUCAGUGGUGAAAUCUCCGGGCUUAACUCGGAAACUGCCGUUGAUACUAUCUGUCUUGAAUAUCGUGGAGGUUAGCGGAAUAUGUCAUGUAGCGGUGAAAUGCUUAGAUAUGACAUAGAACACCCAUUGCGAAGGCAGCUAACUACACGAUCAUUGACACUGAGGCACGAAAGCGUGGGUAGCAAACAGG